This is a long non-coding RNA of Dreissena polymorpha, 563 nucleotides long. RefSeq lists it as uncharacterized. NCBI's taxonomy places the organism in Eukaryota, Metazoa, Mollusca, Bivalvia, Myida, Dreissenidae. The transcript is spliced from 2 exons. The record is from RefSeq and is a predicted model, not a curated record.
CAUCCUUCAAGGUCAAGGUCAUCCUUCAAGGUCAAGGUCCUCCUUCAAGGUCAAAGUUCAAACAACAAAACAAAAAAUCAAAGCAGCGUUAUCAUGAAGCUGCACAUUUUGAGUGUUGGAAUUUCAAGGUCAUCCGUUAAGGUCAAAAAAAUAUUCAAAGCAGCGUUCUCAUGAAGCUGCACAUUUUGAGUGGUGGAAGUUUAAGGUUAUCCUUCAAGGUCAAAGUUCAAAAAAAAAAAAUAAAAGCGGCGUUCUCAUGAAGCUGCACAUUUUGAGUGGUGAAAGUUCAAGGUCAAGGUCAUUCUUCAAGGUCAAGGUCAUCCUUCAAGGCCAAAAGUGAAAAAAAAAUUAAUUUCAAAGCGGCGUUAUCAUGAAGCUGCCCAUUUUGAGUGGCGGAAGUUCAAGGUCAAGGUCAUCCUUCAAGGUCAAGGUCAUCCUUCAAGGUCAAAGGUCUAAAAAAUAAUAUUUCAAAGCGGCAUUCUCAUACAGCUGCACAUUUUGAGUGGUGGAAGUUCAAGGUCAAGAUCAUCCUUCAAGGUCAAAGGUAAAAAAAAAUUUAAAAA